GGCUUUCCUUGGCCUACAACAAACCCGUCUCAUCACCUAAUGAUUCUUUCAGUCCGCUACUUUGUUUCAUUCAUUCUUUGGUUCCACUUCAUCACCAGCCCAACUUAGAAUGAAGCUCGUCCCAGUUUACUUCACUCGAGAAUUCCAAGCCCGACACAUUGCUUCCCUUGCAGGUUUAGUUAGAGUUUCUUUCUAGGAAAGUUAGGGUCUAGACACUAGGGUUUAAUUGGAAAAAAUAAGACCUAAUUUUAAUUCUUGGGACGUCAUAAUUUGAUUAGAG
Molecule: long non-coding RNA, 280 nt
Filed under: Eutrema salsugineum
Lineage: Eukaryota; Viridiplantae; Streptophyta; Magnoliopsida; Brassicales; Brassicaceae
Description: long non-coding RNA (ESAL_LNC001818)
Source: RNAcentral